Molecule: ribosomal RNA, 431 nt
Filed under: uncultured bacterium
Lineage: Bacteria
Description: partial 16S ribosomal RNA
Rfam family: Bacterial small subunit ribosomal RNA
Source: RNAcentral
CCUACGGGUGGCUGCAGUCGAGGAUCUUUCGCAAUGGGCGUAAGCCUGACGAAGCGACGCUGUGUGAGUGAUGAAGGCCUUCGGGUUGUAAAGCUCUUUCGCCUGGGAACGGGUACCAGGUAAAGAAGCACCGGCUAAUUCCGUGCCAGCAGCUGCGGUAAUACGGAAGGUGCAAGCAUUAAUCGGAAUUAUUGGGCGUAAAGGGCGCGUAGGCGGCUAGGUAAGUCUGAUGUGAAAUUCCAAAGCUCAACUUUGGAGCUGCAUUAGAAACUGCUUGGCUAGAGGGAUGGCGGAGAAAAUGGAAUUCCACGUGUAGCGGUGAAAUGCGUAGAUAUGUGGAAGAACACCGGUGGCGAAAGCGGUUUUCUACUUUACCUGACGCUGAGGCGCGAGAGCAAGGGGAGCAAACAGGAUUAGAUACCCUUGUAGUC